Non-coding RNA from Heterocephalus glaber (naked mole-rat), 757 nucleotides. The record is from RefSeq and is a predicted model, not a curated record. Lineage: Eukaryota; Metazoa; Chordata; Mammalia; Rodentia; Bathyergidae.
GCCUGUGUUCCGUUGGCUGUGCGCCAGAUGUCUCCAUUUGCGGAGAUCCCGUCUCAGGCAGAAGUAAGGCUGAUCUGAGGUCCUAGAGUCCAGAACAAAAUCUAGGAGAGGAAGGACAGCAGCAAACAUUUAUUGAAUUCUUUAAGGUGUCAACUCACAUGUGUAGAAAAAGAAAAGAAACUAAGACUUAUUGAAUCCUAAACCUUCAGUGCUGAUGAUAAGCCUCAAGUCCUCACUGCAUGUACAGCUCCAGGCUCAUAGGAAACCAGUACUAAAUAUUUCUGAAAUAGAUCAAGCACCCAUCCUUGUUCUUACACAGAUCAAAACAACAGCAAACAAGAGGGGUUAGAGGGAAUGAGAGGUUAUUAUUUAAUGGGAUAGAGUUGGUUUUGCAAGAUGAAGAGCAGUCUGGAGAUGGAAGAUGGUGAUGAAUGUGUAACAAUGUGAAUGUACCUCAACUCUACACUGAGAAAUUAUUAAGAUGGUAAACUUUAUGUUAAUAGUAUUUUAUUUUAGGUACCGGGGAUUGAACUUGGGACCUUGUGCUUGCAAGGCAGGCAGAGGAACCACUGAGCUAAAUCUCAGCUGUUACUUGUAUUUUAUUAUGAUUCACAAUUAAGAAGAGGGCUGGGGAUUUAGCUCAGUCAUGCUGCAAAGUCCUGAGUUUGAUCCCCAGUACCAAAAAACAAACAAACAAACAAACAACAACAAACAAUUGAGAAGAAGUUAGAUGUAGUGAUGCAUGCCAGUAAUCCCA